GGCGACCGCUCCUUGCCGACGGGUGCAAAUUCAAGUUUCUCUGGACGCUGCCUGGAAAAAACUGCCUCUGGACCACGGGUUUGCUGCUCGCCGCCGCUGUCCCGCCGCCGAAUUCCCCAGCGCUCAGGGAGAUGCACUUAGCUUUUUUUUUUUUCUUUGAGGGGGGAGGAGGGAGCUGUUAUAAGCAUUUCGUGUAGUAUCUUUAAACAAAGUGCUACCUUUCUAAAACGUAGUGUUUGCUUUUGUUUGGGUCUGGAGGGAAAAAUGAUUCCCAGCACAACUAUUUCGAGCGGUUUGCCAUAAAAAAGAAGAGAAUUUGAAUGAAGAGUGGGACAUGGCUUUCUCUUUAAGAGGUUGCUUCAUCCUGAGAGUCGGCUGGGGGACUCUCGAAAGGAAAUCGGAAAGAAAAGGGAAAUCUCAAGGAAAAGGAAAUACCCUCUAGGGAAAGGAGGCUGCUGAAGAAAUGUGGAAUACUAAGGUGUGUGUGGUUCUUUCACCUGCAGAGAUUAGAACAUGAAAUCUCUGCUAUGGAAGUUAGAGUCUCCAAAGAUGAUCCUUCCAAUGAAUCAGGCUUACCUGGAUUCACACCUUUGUGUAGUCCAUCUCUAUUCUGACCUGGCCCUGUGAUUCAUUUGUAACCAGUAAAUGUGGUAGAAGUGUGAUACUACGUGAUACCCAAGACUAGGUGAGAAGAAGCCUUAGAGCAUUCACCUUGGACUCCUGAAACAUUCUGGAAACUCUGAACCGCCAUAUAAGAAAGCUAACUACCCAGAGAGCACCAUGCUGGAGAGGCCAUAGGUAGGCAUUCCAGCCAACAGUCCCACUGGACUCCAACCUUCCAGUCAUCCCCACCUAGGGACCCAGACAUGUAAGUGAGGCCAUCUUGAACUGUCCAGAUCAGCACAACCACCAGUUAAAUACCACUGAGUAAUCUCAGUUGAGACACUCUGGAACAGAAGAAUCAUCCCGCUGAGCCCUGCCCAAAUUCCUGGCCCAUAAAAUCCUGAGCUAUAAUAAAAUGUUAUUGUUUUAAGCUGCUC
Molecule: long non-coding RNA, 1040 nt
Filed under: Dasypus novemcinctus (nine-banded armadillo)
Lineage: Eukaryota; Metazoa; Chordata; Mammalia; Cingulata; Dasypodidae
Description: lncRNA (ENSDNOG00000052301.1)
Source: RNAcentral